Molecule: ribosomal RNA, 207 nt
Filed under: uncultured bacterium
Lineage: Bacteria
Description: partial 16S ribosomal RNA
Rfam family: Bacterial small subunit ribosomal RNA
Source: RNAcentral
AGCGUAGACGGAUGGACAAGUCUGAUGUGAAAGGCUGGGGCUCAACCCCGGGACUGCAUUGGAAACUGCCCGUCUUGAGUGCCGGAGAGGUAAGCGGAAUUCCUAGUGUAGCGGUGAAAUGCGUAGAUAUUAGGAGGAACACCGGUGGCGAAGGCGGGUCUCUGGGCCGUUACUGACGCUGAGGAGCGAAAGCAUGGGGAGCGAACA